CUUCUGGUUCCAGGAAAAGCAAGCCGUGGGGCUGGUGCUCAUGUCUACACAGAGCGGCUGAGCGGACUUAACUGCCUUAAGCGGAGCAGUGGGGUUUGGGUGGGUGCAAAGGCGGCUCCCGUUGGGUGCCGAUGCCCUCUUGCCAAGUGGCCUCCUGGCAUGGCCCUCCGGGGGCUGUUCUUUCGCUGAGGCUCGGCUCGGAUGUACCCAGUUGCUGGGUUCCCAUGGCAAACGCAUAAGAACAGCCCUGCUGCUGGAUCAGGCCCAAGGCGGCCCAUCUCGUCCAGCAUCCUGUUUCACACAGUGGCCCACCAGAUGCCUCUGGGGAGCCCACAGGCAAGAGGUGUGUGCAUGCCCUCUCUCUUGCUGUUGUUGCUCCCCUGCAACUGGGAUUGAGAGGCAUCUUGCCUCUGAGGCUGGAGGUGGCCUAUAGCCAUCAAAUCUAGUAGCCAUUGAUAGACCUCUAUGAAUUUGUCUAAGCCCCUUUUAAAGCCAUCCAAGCUGGUGGCCAUCACCACAUCCCAUGGCAAGGAAUUCCAUAUAAGCUUCUUGGGAGGGAGGGCAUGAAUAAAACGUGAUUAAAUUCAAAAUGAAAGAGCAUGUGCUUGGAAACAAAAACCCAGAUUUCUGCACCAAGAAAAACUGAAUUAUUUCACCUGCAAACAUUAUUCACAUGAGGUCACUUUUAUUAUUUUAUUAUUAUUUUAUUUAAUUAUUCAGUACAAUCGUAUACCGCCCUAUACAAAAGGGCGGUUCCCAAUAUAAAAAACAUUAACAUGAUUAAAACCAUUUAAAAUACAAUAAAAACUCUGAAAACUGAAGCUUUAAAGCUAUAAACUAAGAGCCCGAUUCAACAGACGUGUUUUAGGUCCUUCUUGAAAACAUUCAGAGAAGGGGAAACUAAUUUCAUUAGGAAACACAUUCCAGAGUUUUGCUUGUGUCUCCUUCAUUUGCGCAUCCUGCUAGUCGGGGGGCGGGGGGAGCUCGCCCUGCAGUGCAUUGACACACACACACACCCCGAAUUUAAAAAAUACAUCACUGGAAAUAUUAUUUGGUCCCAUCUCUGACUUCUGAGAUUUCAGCAAGUCCUGCAAAUUGCCUUCGACGUGAUUUUUGGAAGCUAAUAUUCCCAGAACUGGUUGUGCUCUGCAACUGGUGUGCGAUUUCUGUGGCUGGUGUGCAUGUGCAGGGUCUUGAAGAGUGCCCCCUUGCCACAGGCACUGGUGACGCCCAGCACCACCCCUCCUGCACACACAGCUGGUUUGCAGCUCCGACUUCCCCGGGCCUGUGCUCUGCUCCUUCCCUCAACGUGCGCUGUGCUGAGCCUGCCGGAGAAGGACUGGAAGAACCCCAACGUGGUGCUUUGUUGGCAAGAAGGGUGCGCGGAAUCGCCAGGCCACUCUCCAUCCAGCAGGGACGCGAGAGGCUCCUGUCCCGACACGAAGGUAAGGCAGGUGGCGGGUCUCUCUUGCUCCUGUAACUCCCCUCUCCGUGCUGGAUAUUUAGGGCCUACGACGAUACGAUGGGCGUGUUCUUUGCUCGCAGGCGCUGUAACCACCAUGACAGGCCGUCAAGGGGGGAAAGAGGCAUGGGCAGAAAAGGAGGAUUUCUUAGAGGUUAAUGCUACUUUGGGGGAGGAGGGGGUGGGGAAUCCGGAGCAGUGCAAGAGACCCGCCUGCAUCCUGCCGUGCCCAAAUUACUUUGUCUGGGGGGGAAAUAUUGGCUUAGAUCCUUGUUAAUCAAAGGUACGCCAUCAAAAACGAAAGGUGAAGGUGCCACAUUUUUGCAGAGGAAGUAUGUGGAAAUGGCAGCAGAUCCAGUGUGAAGACCCCUCUCUAUUAUGUCGGACUUCCUGCCCCAAGAAACCAGGAGAGCUGGUCUUGUGGGAGCGAGCUGAGCAAACAUCUCCUUCUUAAGCACAUUAUGCUGCAAAUCCCAUUAGGGAAGUAGAGCUAGUUCAGGCGGCCGAGGCUGGCAUGGGACACUUCCUUCCCGGGGGUGUGGGGGGGUGCGCACGCACGCGCGCACUCACACGAGCUCUGCCUUUCUGCUUCACCGGCCCCAAAUCCCAAGACAAAACUGGAGCUGUUUGCUGAGGUGUGGGGUGUGUCCUCUGGGCCUGCCUGCCCUUCAAGGGAAAGGUGGACUCCCUUCCAUGCCGCUCUGCUGUGCUCCUUGGCACGAGGCCCCCACCCGCCUGUGCCCUUGGCUUAGCUCUGCACUUGCCGCGGCUUCUCUGCCACACUCGGGCCCUUCGUGUGCCCAGAAAUCUCAUUACCUGCAUUAGGAGGUUUACUGGCUGGAGAGCUGUCAAGCCAGGCACUUUGCUGACACCAGGCCACUUUGAAACGCCACUGCCCUCAUUUCCUGGAGCUGCUGGGCGGGGGGGGGGGGGCUGGUCCUGCUAGGGGGCCCCAAGAGCUGCCUUUGCAUCCCGGAUCUCCUUGUUCCAGAGGCAGCCAAGCAAAGCGAGUGGGGCUCUAGCGUCCCGGGUUCACUCCCAGGUGGCAUCUCCAGGUGGGGCUUGGGGGACACCUGCCUGCAGCCUUGGAGCUGUGCCUUAGAAGAUGUGCCGCAGGCAGAAGCCCAACAGGAGAACUGCCAGCAAUAGAAGCCACAAUGGUGUGGCGGGGACAGCAUGAGCUCAGGGAACAGCUGGUUGGUACUUAGGGAUAGGGGAGUGCCGAAAAGGGGGUCUGCCAGUGUGCUUGAAAUCACACAGGUAGACCAAAGUUUUCCUGGUCAGUUGACAAUCCAUGCUUUUGCUCUCUCCCUUUAAUUUCUUAUUUUGCUCUGUGUUUCUAAGCCAUUCACACGUUACAUUCAACACUCGUCAGACAAGUGUGCAGUGGCUGUACACAGGUACAGUCGUUCAUGUAAUGCUGAAUGCAGGUACAGAAGUACACUUCCUGUCUGUGCCAUGCAUUUGAAGCGCCUGUAUCCGGGUUCACUUUUAAAAUGAACACAGGUACAGUCAUUCACACAAACAUGUGUACAGACAUCUGAACACUCAUACAGCAUAAUGUCUAAUUGGGCUCCUGUGUCUUUUGUGUCCACACACUUGCACACCUUGUUUCCAGCAUCCUGUCCAUCCCAGGUGGCCAUUUUGCUUAGGAGGUGUGCACAUUCUGUCACUUGGUGUCGCUCUUCCCAGUUUCUGCAGAUAUGGAUGUUUUGUCAUUCUCGGUUCUGUCACUGGAUGUCGCAGUUUGCCAUCUCUGCAGCAAUUUAGGUGUAUAUUGUCAUUCUCUGUUCUGGUACUAGGUGUCGCUGUUUGUAGGUUCAGUCUCAGAAAAGCUAAUAUUUGUGUGUUUUGUAACACCAUGUUCUGCCAAUAGCGGCUGCUGAUGGCAUCUCCUGCUGAUAUGGAUGAAGUAUUAAGGGAUUAGACUGCAAGGAGCACCUUAGGAGAGACCAUCAGCCUAUUGCUGUCCAGAGAGGAAUCUUGUUUAAGAACAGAAUUUGCAUGCAUCUGAUUCCAGAACCAGGUAACGAUCCACAGUAGUCUAUCCAGACAUGCUGAUUGUGUAAAGGCACCUAAAGCAGCACCAGUGGUCUCCUCUGAAGCCGCAUUGUUCACAACACGGGGCUAGAGAAUGAGUGUGUCUGGGGCGCCUUCUCGUUCCUUUCCCAGCUUUCCUUGCCAGGAGGAGUACAGCUUAAUCACAUGUCAAGAGGCUGGAGAAUGAUAGCAUUUUUGCCCUGCUGGACCGGCCUGAUUAAAACUCAGUAAUAAUACAAAUAAUUUUGAGGGGAAGAGCACCUGAUGAGGAUAUUAAAUACCGAUGAGCGAAGAGGCAGCAACUGUAAAACUGCAUGGCUCAGAUGAGAAAUUUUUUUAAAAAACAAAACCCCGCUCAUCUCUCACUUUGAUUGAAUGUUCGCUUCCAAAAUUAACCUUCAAAUUUAUCUAAAAAUAAAUUCGUAGCUAUGCUUGGUAUUCACGGAGCCUGUAACACUGCCUUACUCACUCCCUCCUGGUUCAGAGGCAGGCAGGUCUGCUGGUGCUACGUGUACUUUGAGAGUGUCUCAGAGAAAAGAUGGGUUUGGGGUGGGGGCGGGUUGAAACAGGGAUGGCCAACCUGAGGUUCUUCAGCUGUUACAUUCUACAGAGACAAAAGUAUUGGGCAGUAUAGAAAUAUGUUAAACAAAAUAAAUGAAUGAACUCCCAUCACCCCCUGCUGCAAUGUUGAGGCAGUGGGUGAUGGGCAUUGUAGUGCAAUUACAGCUGGGACACCUUAAGAGUAGCCACCCCUGACCUAAGGCAAUCAACUACCCCAAGGUUUCUCGCGAUGUCUGUGACAAGGCAGAGAUUUGUUGCUUCCAAGCGCUACGUUGGGGUGCAAAAGGGUUCAGAAAGGACAUCAGAGCCCUGUUGCUUCUUAAAGGUGAAUACAUUUAUUACAGAACUGCAUGUUUUUGCGCUGCAGCUUGCAAAAUAAGAUGCUUGCAAAUUGGACUUUAAUUUAUUUUAUUUGGUUUUAGUCUUGUAAAUGUGUGUUUAUUGUUCAGGAGCUGUUUUGUUUGGUCAUUGACCAUAACUAAACUAAACUAAACCUUUAUUUGGGCGCUAAACAGUCUGAAAUUCAGAGGCCCAAUUCAGUUGGGGUCAAGGUGCUGUGCGGAGGGGAAUUAACUCUCUCCAGCCCGGUUCUGGCCAGGAUCCAGAUUGCCCUCUGCCAUUAGUCAAUAAAAGUGUACUUCUUUUUCUUCCAACAGCAUCUCCUCCUUCAAUCAGUUGUUUCUUUGCUUUGUUACUCCAGGGAGGGGGAAGAGGGGGGUUUUCUGAUGAUAAUUUUAAGAAAUUGUGUUUGAGCAUUUAUAAGAGGGGCUUCUCAAAUCCCUUCCUGACUUCUUCUCUUAAUUGCGAGAGGAGAAUAAAGGGCUUGGGGGGUGGGAGAAGGAAUCAGGGAGCGGCUCUGGGUAAUGUGUUAAUUUUAAUUGAACAAUUACCUCUUCUCCUGAAGAGUUCAUUACUGAGACGCUCGUUGUCAGCUGUUGUUAUUGUUUUAAGAUGAAUGCUAGAGAAUCAAUUUAUAAAUUUUUUUAAAGCAGUUGCAAACCUGAUUCUCGCACUUGCCUGUUAGGUGCUGGUGUGCGAAAUAACUCCAAGAAAAAUCUUGCUAGUCUUAUCCCUUCUGUUUUUAAGGCACUGUUUUCUACGCCGGAUUCCGGAACUUUCAAAAAUGCCCUGACUUUGGGCACCACGACCAGCAUGUAGCAAGGGUGUCCUCUUGAUGGAAUUGCAUCGUAGGGGAGGGUUUGCUUACCGCCACCAAGAACAAUCUCCUAGCUGUGACAGUUCCCUCUUUUUUAAAAGAUGUGGUUUUGUCUUCUAGAAUUCUGGAAAUUGCAGAUACCCCAAUUAGGUGCACCAAAAUUGGCAGAAAAAUCGAAGAAAAGUCUCUGUCCUCCUUUUUAAAGUCAUUAUUUUGUCUGCCAUUUUCCUGAAACUGGCCAAAAAAUACCUCAACUUGUGCCCCCAAAUCAUCAGCUUGUGUGGCCACCUCCAGCCUCAGAGGAAAGAUGCUGCUAAAUACCAGUUGCAGGGGGGCAAUGACAGAAGAGGGGGCAAGCCCUCACCCCGCUGCCUGUGGUCAUCCCAGAGGCAUCUGGUGGGCCACUGGGUGAAACAGGAUGCUGGACUAGAUGGGCCUUGAGCUUGAUCAAGCAGGGCUGUUCUCAUCCCCUCUUGUUUAAACUGCACUUAUUAGCUUCUAUAUAUUUAAUUCUCUAAGACGUACCUGUGGCUAAUCCCAUGUGUGGCAGCUCUCACGAGAGUUCAGAGAGCUGUGGGAUAGCCACGGGUGGGAGGGAAGAAAAUGGUGGCACUAGCUGGGGGUGGAAACAGUGGCAAACCGUGGUGGAGACCGGUUGAUAGGGAACAGCAGUGGAGACCAGUUGACCAGUCAGCAGGGAACGGGGUGGAGACCAGUCAGCAGGUGACAGGGGUGGAGACCAGUUGACCGGUCAACAGGGAACAAGGUGGAGACCAGUCGGCAAGAAGCAGGGCUGCAGACCAGUUGACCGGUCAACCAGUCGGCAGGGAACCGCGGUCGAGACCAGUUGACCGGUCAACAGGGAACAGGGGUGGAGACUGGUUGAAAGAUAUCCCAAAUGUGGGCAUCAAAAUCUGUUAUUUUUUCCUUCUUGUUUUAGAAACUUUUAAUUUCCCAGGAAAGAAUAUCAGGCUGUGGCGCCCCAGUUCUAAAGCUGCCCAUUUCACUUGUCCCUUAAAACUGCUUUGUGUUAAAUAAAUUUCAAGAUCCUAAGUGAUGUAAGGAGAGAGUUGAUCAAGCCACCCACUGCAGCGUUGCUUCCAGAGGGGCGGGAGGUACCGAAGCAGGGCUUCUGGCUCUUCAACAGAGACCUGGGGACGCAGCAAAGGGGAACGCUUCAUCUGUUGGACAUCUACCCAUCAGCCCUGAGCAAAGCACAGAAGCUAAGCCAGAAAUCCUUCUGGGGGAAUUCCUGCCACGUUAUCGGUCAGUCUGUGCUGCCCUCUGGUGCACCAGCUUCACACUGCAAGACAUUCUCUGGUUUUGCUUUUGUGUGCGAGAGAGAAAGAAACCAAAAAAGACAAGCCCUUUGGCCAGGAGCAGUCUAGCCACCUUGCUUUAAGAAAGCCUCUCUUUCUCCGCAGCAACUCUGAAACCAUCAACUAAAUGCCACACUGUUGGCGGCACCACAUGUGCUUGGAUUAGCUCCAGGGGCCGGACCUUGGGGCAAAAGAGACACCCACCCACCCCACUGCACAGGGUGUGUGUGUGUGCUGAGCCCUCCAUUUCAGCUUCUCCUCGGAUGUCCCCAACUUGGACGCACACCGGAGUUGGAAACAAAAGGAGGGCAACAGAGGUGCGUUGGCUUUUAUUCCUAAAUAAAUAAAAUCGGAGAACACUUUGUGCAAAAUAAAACUCUGUCUAGGAAGAGGCCGCAGCCCCUGGCGGAAGGAACAGCGGAUGCCCCGGUGGGCCUGGCUGGCUCCCUCGGCAACUGCGGCAUGUUGAACUCCUGGGGGCAAGGCUGGGGGGCAGGUCUCCGCUGGGGAGGAGCCGUCCUGCUCUCGGCGCUCCAGCCCGUCUGACGAGGUUCCUGGCUUCCCCGGCAUCUGGUGGAAUCUGGCAACAGUCGGAGACGUUUGGCUGGCUUUGUUUUUGAAAAGCCGGCUUCUGGUCCUCGCGGCUGUGCAGAGCAGCUCAGGAAGAAGGCGGCAGGUGCGACAUCCUGGCCCAGGCUUCAGGCUGCACUCCGUGGCCCCGUAACCCAGGGGAUGGGGCGGAGCAGGAGCGUCCCGAGAGGGAGCAGCCGGGAGCCAGAGGGGCUGGGCCGGUGCUUGUGCAGAGGCUGCCCCCACCCUCCGGCCCAGGUUAGACAUGGGAACCUUCCUUGCUCCAGUUCUGCGGGCAGCUGGCCCCAGAAGAGCCCAAGCUGUCCAGCGGGACCACCACCACCUCGUCCGGGUGAGAAUUCUUGUUCAGCUCCACCACCCGGGGUACCACCGUUGACCAGCGAUCUGCAGAGAGAGAAAAAGGCCGUGGGGCACAGAGGCCAUGGAAGGGAUGCCCCCUCCCAUACUGGCCAGGAGAGAGGCCCCCCCGCCCAGGAACUCCUGGACCGGGCCGCCCUCCAGGUGGCUUAGGGCAGCUUCUCCUGGACCCAGAGCGCCCGCCUCCAUACUCCUCGUCCCUGCUGAACCACACCUCCCAUCAGCCGAGCUGGAGGGGGCCAUCUUUGCCCAGCCCUGGCCAGAAGGCACCUUCUCAAGGGGGGAGGGGGGCUCUCUUCCCUUUAGCGGAGGGAGAGCAGCUGUCCCUCUUCAGCCCAGCAGACCAUCCCUGGGGUCUAGUUGGAGCCCUUUCCUUGCUGGCUUCCUUCUCACCCAGAGGCAUCUCCCUGAGAGCAGCCGAACUGCAGCCUGCAGAAGCAACCCUCUGGGCCCGCCAGACGGCCGAGUGCCUCCGCUAGCUGGGAAAGGCGGGCCUGCUUGGCCCCUGAGCGUAGCUGCCAGAAGUGCCCUUCAGCUAGCUCCCACCCCACCCCGGCUUACUCGGAGCCUGGACCCCUGACCCUGCCAGGCCACUCACCUCUCCGCAGCCGGCUCACCGUCUGGGAGAAGCCGUAAUACUGAUAGGUCUCGUUCUUGCCGGGGUCUUCAUUGAUGAUGCCCAAGUUCUGGUUCCAGUGAGACCAGUUGACCUCGUCCACCCUGGCGGGGGGAGAAGCAGAGUGUGGUAAGCAGGGGAAAGAAGCCCAACUGUGGCUCCUGUCCAGGAGAGAAGCGAUUCCUUGGGGCCAGACUGCUCACCAAGAUGGGGUCAUGGACAGCUCAGAUAGAAUGCUACACCCCAGGGGUUCUCAACCUUGGGUCGCCAGUAGCUGCCGGACUCUGGCCUACACAAUAGCCUAAUAGGAAGGCUCUAGUGGCUGAGGAUGCUGGGCGUUGUAGUCCCAUCAAAAGGUAGGGAAGCCCUGUGCUAAGCCAUGACCCACAGCAAGCCUCAGGUUCACACCCUUCUUCUCCACCCCUGAGAGGAAGAGAUUUGAAGCGUCCGCCCCGUUUCCCCUUUUGUCCCAAUACAGGAAGACAGUUUGUUCAAACCACACGUUUUGUUAACAAACCAGGGUUUCAAGCCAUGGCUGAAUCCCAGCUACAGUCCCUACAAACCUUGGCUUCCCCCUAGUGGAUGAAUCGGGAUGCUUUACACUUCUUAUGAAAGGGACCAAGCUGUAGCACCAUGUGUGAAUUCUGCCAGACAGAAUCUGGGUUCAGUGUUGGGGUCAAUCUGGGUUCAGUGUUGGGGUCACAGGUUAUUUAGAACUCAAAAGUUACUCCAACUUCCAAUGGAGCAAAACCAUGCAGAAUAAAGACUCCUGCUAACUUGCCUCUGGGUUGCAGAAGCCCUUUCUCUGGGGUGCAACGUUUGGAUGGGAGCAGAGUUCCAUAAAAACAGGUAUGCACCCUCUCGGCCAGGGUUCCCUGGAACAAGGGCUCCUAGAUGAUGUGGACUACAACUCCCAUCAUCUCCAGGUGCAAUGGCCUUUGGCUGGGGAUGAUGGGAGUUGAGUUGUAGUCAACAACAGCUGGGGCUCAUGGGAACCUAGGAAGCUGCCAUAUACUGAGUCAGACCCUUGGUCGGUCUAGCUCAGUAUUGUCUGCACAGACUGGCAGCAGCUUCUCCAAGCUUGCAGGCAAGAAUCUCUCUCAGCCCUCUCUUGGAGAUGCUGCCAGGGAGGGAACCUGGAACCUUCUGCUUUCCCCAGAGUGGCUCCAUCCCCUCCUGAGGGGAAUAUCUUACAGUGCUCACACAUGUCAUCUCCCAUUCAAAUGCACACUAGGGCAGACCCUGCUUAGCUAAGAGGACAAGUCAUGUUUGCUGCCACCAGACCAGCUCUACCCUCCCGUUGAAGGGAACCCUGCUCCAGACCCCAGGCCUCGCCUCGAAGGGGAGGGCCUUGGCUGUGCCCACACCGUCACCAUCCACGCUCACCUGAAGCACCAGCGGCGGUCAGGCGUCCCAUCCAGGGCCUUCCCAACGGUGACCAUUUCUCCCGAGCGAAAGGCUUUCCGGACGAACACAGGGAAGGACCUCUCAAUGUCCAGGAUGGUGGUGGCCCACUGGAGGCAGCAGAGGAGGGGGAAACGUUACCGCCAAGACCCAGCCCUGGCAGCAGCCCAGCAAUAAGCCGUGACAAGCAUGCCUGACACAUGUCAGCAUUGAGGAGGUCUCUGGGUUAAGCAGAUCUGCAGGGGGAAUUCAGGCCACCGGCUAGCAGCAAAAGAGUUGGGCAGGGGGCAUUUGACUGUCACCCAGCGCACUGGACUGGGCACCCUCUGGACACCGGAGGGCUCGGCCCCCAGCCCUCCCUGGCGGUCCCUACCUGCAGCUUCCAGAUCUGCUUGCUCUCCUUGGAGACCUGGCCCACCGUCUCCCCCAUGAGGGCGAUCAGCAUGUUGAGCAGGAGGACGAAGGUGAGGAUGAUGUAGGUGACCAGGAGGAUGACGAAGACCCCGGGGUAUUUGGCGUUCUCGAUCAUCUCCAGGUCCCCCAUGCCGAUGGUCAGCUUGAAGAGGUCCAGGAGGAAGGUGCUGAAGGUGGUGCUGUCCCGGCAGGAGGGGUAGGCGGGGGCCGUGCAGUUGCCCUGCUCCUCGGUGCAGGCCUCCAUGCUGGGGCAGGGGUUCAGCAGGGAGACCAAGGCUGGAGAGGGAGCGGGAGGGGUCUUGGGUCCAGGCCAAGGCAGCCAGGGACCACAAACAGGAAUCGGGGCGGGUGGGUGGGGGCACUUCUCAAGGCGAAAGGCUCCCCGACUCAAAUGUGCUUGCAAAUCCCACAUGCAGGCAAUUCCUCUAAACUUCCUUGGGGAGGAGAGCUGUCCUCUCUGCUAAGCAAGAUCCACCUUGGUUUGCAUUUGGAUGGGUGGCCACAUGAGAGUUGGAACUUCCACUCAGGGGAAGAGCAUCUGCUUUUGUGCAGAAGGUCCCAGGUUCCGUCCCUGGCAGCACAGAGACAUAGAACGUAGGAAGCUGCCCUGUGCUGAGUCAGACCCUCGGUCCACCUAGCUCAGUAUUGUCUUCACAGACUGGCAGCCACUUCUCCAAGGUUGCAUGCAGGAGGCUAUCUCUCAGCCCUAUCUCGUUGGAGAUGCUGCCAGUUGGGGCUGGGAAAGACUCUUGCCUGAAGCCUGCCAGGGAAGCUGCUGCCAGUCAGUGUAGACAAUACUGAGCUAGUUGGACUAAGGGCCUGACUCAGUAUUCCCAAUGCCUCAGAUUGGAGAUUCUACACCCUGGUGGUGUUUUCUUUUGUUAAAACUCUCUUAAACUAAACAUUUAUAUCUGGAAACAAAAACAAACCCACCACACUCCUAUCUGGAAACAGAAAUAGAACGCAGCCUGUUGCAACGAAUGUGCAAAUCUUGGUCAGCCAACUGGCUUGGUUUUGGUUUUCAGUCCUCCUGCUGAACAAACCAGCUGGCCAGGCCCUACCUGUGGACGGGUGCCCCCUCACCUGACGCGUAGCCAAUCAUGAACAGCACGUAGACCAGAAGGAACCGGAAGAGAUCUUUGAAGAGGAUCUGCAGUUGGAGAGGGGAGAGCACAAAGGUCAGCAGCACACAGAAGAGCAUGUGCAGAGUGCUUUAUUUUUAGCUGCUGCUGAGUAACUGCUUCUGAGAAAAACAAGCCGGUCGAACAGCGUGCCUUUGAGAGGGGGAUGCGGCACCUAUAAGACUAGGGAUUUAGUGCUGCUCAGACCAAGAUUGCUCUAGAACAAUAGCAGCCAACAAGCCGGGGGGCACCAGAAGAAAUGCAGCUGGCUCCGGUUCCCAGCAGCCCCCUCCCAUCCAGCCUCUCCCCACAGUCAACGAGAGCUGUGCUGCCUGCAGGCUGGCCAUCCUCAGGUAGAGCUGGGUCACUGCAGGCAGCAUGGCUCCCGUGAAUGGCGGGGAGGGGCAGGACGGAAGAGAGAGGCUGCCGGUAACCAGAGGCAUUGGCAACCCUCGCUAGCUGGGCAAAGAGGUGGUGAUUCUCUUCACUGAGCAGGGGGAGAGCAACUGGCCCUCUCCACCCCCAGCACAGCAUCCCUCCAGUGACUGUUGCUGGGGUCUAUCUUGAGUUUAUUUUUGGAUCGUGAACCCUUCGGGGACAGGGAGCCAUCUUAUUCAUUUAUUCAUUCAUUCAUUCAUUUAUUUCUCUGCGUGAACCGCUUUGGAAACUUUUGUUCCAAAGCGGUCUAUAAAUCUGUAUUUGCCCUCCCUUCCCCCGGAGCACCUUCUGGAUCAUGAUGCUGUAAGUCCCGGUCAGCUUGAGGCCUCGGGUGAAGUACAGAGCAUUCAUCCAGCCCAAAACCAGGGCAAAGACCAUGACGGCCAGAUAGGCCUCGAUCCCCGUCAGGUACAGCGCUGCCGCCACUAGCACCAAGACCGAGUAGAUGAAGCUAGAGAGGGCCGGCCAAGAAAGCAAGACACAGUCAGAGGGAGACGGAGAGAGAGGGACUCCUGACAUCUCUGGGUGGGUCUGUCUGCAGUCAGGAAGCCCCCUCGUGCACGCCCCAGGACACGUGGGAGAGGCUCCCAAUUCCGCAAGGUCUCCAGGGUUGCUGGUGGGCAAAGAAGUCCCCAACGUGUGUGUCCCCCCCAAUCUAUCUCAGGGGUUCCCAACCUGGGUUCCCCAGAUGCAGAGGGACUACAGCUCCCAUCACCCCCUGCCUCAAGGGUCUGAGUGGCCAGGAAGUUCCACAGCUCGAGCUAAGAGGCCUGUCCGCAUCGCAACCAUUCCGUGCCUUCAGUGCCUGUCUGUCUCUGCCAGGAAGCAUUUGUACUCACUAGAGUAGUUGGAAGGAGCCAUCGAUGAAGAAAGAAUUCACCCCAGGGCACUUCUUCAUGAACAGGUCUUUGAUCUGGGGAGAGAAGAGGAGAUGGAAGGGGGGACCUGAGGAGGGCACAGAGGGGGAGCAGCUGCCAGGAUAGGAAACAGGCAGGGAGAGAACAGGAAGAGAGGUGAAGGGAAGAGGGGGUUUGCAGGCCAUACAAAAGGAUGUGCCAGCAGGGGUGCUUUUUAGAAGUAUUCCUGUCAUCUACGGAGUAAUUUUUACCUGUAACUGAAAGCUGAGAAAGCCUGAGACAGAAGCAGUCUGUCGUAUUUUGAAUAAAGCUUUUUCCCUCUU
Long non-coding RNA from Hemicordylus capensis (graceful crag lizard), 12659 nucleotides. RefSeq lists it as uncharacterized. NCBI's taxonomy places the organism in Eukaryota, Metazoa, Chordata, Lepidosauria, Squamata, Cordylidae. The transcript has 2 exons. The record is from RefSeq and is a predicted model, not a curated record.